ACACCGACGGCCCGAGUGGUGGCCACUAUUAUUGGGUCUAAAGGGUCCGUAGCCGGCCUAACCAGUCCCUCGGGAGAUCUGAAGGCUUAACCUUUGGGCUUCCGGGGGAUACUAUUAGGCUUGGGACCGGGAGAGGUAGGAGGAAUCUCAGGGGUAGGAGUGAAAUCCUGUAAUCCCUGAGGGACCACCAGUGGCGAAGGCGUCCUACCAGAACGGGUCCGACGGUGAGGGACGAAAGCUAGGGGCACGAACCGGAUUAGAUACCCCAGUAGUCC
This 275-nucleotide ribosomal RNA is filed under the name uncultured bacterium. Its description in RNAcentral is "partial 16S ribosomal RNA". It matches the Rfam family "Archaeal small subunit ribosomal RNA", at positions 473 to 747 of the family's 1478-position model. The record is from RNAcentral.